This 494-nucleotide ribosomal RNA is filed under the name uncultured bacterium. RNAcentral's name for it is "partial 16S ribosomal RNA". It matches the Rfam family "Bacterial small subunit ribosomal RNA", at positions 28 to 506 of the family's 1533-position model. The record is from RNAcentral.
GACGAACGCUGGCGGCGUGCCUAAUACAUGCAAGUAGAACGCUGAAGGAGGAGCUUGCUUCUCUGGAUGAGUUGCGAACGGGUGAGUAACGCGUAGGUAACCUGCCUGUUAGCGGGGGAUAACUAUUUGAAACGAUAUCUAAUACCGCAUAAUAGCAGUUGUUUCAUGACAACUGUUUGAAAGGUGCAAUUGCACCACUACCAGAUGGCCCUGCGUUGUAUUAGCUAGUUGGGGGGGUAACGGCUCACCAAGGCGACGAUACAUAGCCGACCUGAGAGGGUCAAUCGACAGACUGUGAGUGAGAAACGUCAGAGACACCGAGGGGAGGACGCAGUAGGGAAUCUUAGGGAAAGGAGCGGAGGGUGACAGAGCAAAGCCGCGUGAGUGAAGAAGGAGUUCGGAUCGUAAAGUGAUGAUGUAAGAGAAGAAGGAAUGUGAGAGUGCAAAGGACAAAAAGGGAAGGUACGUUAGAAGAAAGGGACGGUUAACCAGUU